UCAGUCGGCCAUACCACCUUGAAAAUGCCCGAUCUUGUCUGAUCUUGGGAGGUGAGCAGGGUUGGGCCUGGUUAGAACUGUAUGGGAGACCACUGAAAACACUGCAGGUGCUGCAGUGGU
This 120-nucleotide ribosomal RNA is filed under the name Periophthalmus magnuspinnatus. Lineage: Eukaryota; Metazoa; Chordata; Actinopteri; Gobiiformes; Gobiidae. The record is from RNAcentral.